Molecule: long non-coding RNA, 233 nt
Filed under: Vigna radiata
Lineage: Eukaryota; Viridiplantae; Streptophyta; Magnoliopsida; Fabales; Fabaceae
Description: long non-coding RNA (VRAD_LNC003297)
Source: RNAcentral
ACAACCAUACACAUAUCACCCGCAUAUUCAAAGUCAACCAAAUUCAUUGACCAACAAUUAAUUAAAAUACUCAAAUAAUUAAAUCAAUCAAUUUUUCACAAUAAAAAUAAUUUAAUUAUUUUCCUACUUGCGCACCCCCGUUAAAUUAUUAAUCUCACCCUCUCAUUCCACUAGAACCAAUAUUUCUAGUGCACCCCCGAUUUUACUAAAAUCACAACACAUAAUAAAACACA